GCGGCCGCGGGAGGAGGGCGCCCAAGGCGGCGGGGGAGGUUAAGGCUGGCCUGCCACUCCUCCUGCUAUGAUGCCUGGGCAGAUCCCGGACCCUUCGGUGACCGCAGGCUCCCUGCCAGGGCUUGGCCCCCUGACCGGGCUCCCCAGCUCGGCCCUGACUGUGGAGGAGCUGAAAUACGCUGACAUCCGCAACCUCGGGGCCAUGAUUGCACCCUUGCACUUCCUGGAGGUGAAACUGGGCAAGAGGCCCCAGCCCGUGAAAAGUGAGGUCCACUGGCAACAUGGACUCAGAGUUGGGAAACUGAGUCCUCUCCUGGGUGAGGCUCAUCUGGCUGAACAACUGUGAAGCCAUUUAAGUCUUUUUUCCUUCUACUGUGCCCAAAAGGCGCAAGGCAACCUGGCCUGAGGUUGGAGCAUGGAGAUCUAGAAGAACUCAUGGAUGGAUUCAGGCAGGAUGUGAAAGUGCUGGGAGUGAGGGCCUGGGCCUCCUCUGGGUUUAGCCACCCUUCCAGGUUGUGUACAACCUGCCAUAUGCUGGGGCUCAUUGACUGUGCUCUG
RNAcentral lists this small RNA (558 nucleotides) under Pongo abelii (Sumatran orangutan). Its description in RNAcentral is "processed transcript". The record is from RNAcentral. Lineage: Eukaryota; Metazoa; Chordata; Mammalia; Primates; Hominidae.